Long non-coding RNA from Oncorhynchus keta (chum salmon), 1785 nucleotides. RefSeq lists it as uncharacterized. NCBI's taxonomy places the organism in Eukaryota, Metazoa, Chordata, Actinopteri, Salmoniformes, Salmonidae. The record is from RefSeq and is a predicted model, not a curated record. The transcript is spliced from 2 exons.
UAACUAUACAGACAUCAUGGAAGUUAGCUAGUGGUGGGCAUGCUACUAACUAGUUAACUAUACAGACAUCACGGCCAUUAACUAGCUAUCUUAUCAACGUGCAAAUAUAUCAAGUACCCUGGCAAUAUAAGUAGCUAGCUUGUCAUACUUGAAUAACAUUAUUUAAUGUUUAUUAAUCCAACUUUACACAGGCUACUGUUUGGCAGUAGCCCACAAGCCAACCGUGAGCUUCUCUUGUGAAGCCCAGACAUAAGAGAAAGAACAAUGGCCAAACCUGGUCUUUGCUCCCCCUGCCCAACCCCCCUCCACGCCACUCCGCCAACCGCCAGGAUGCCCGGCAUCAAAACAUUCCAGGCAUUCCCGUGAUUGGCAGAUAGCAGGUUGAUUGGCAUGUCGGACCCCGCGAACACUGGGUACUGAUAUGGAGAAUGCAGGUCAUAUGGAAAUGUUUCCAGAUGUUGAACUGGCCGCCGUGUAGCUGUUUCGGAUGACCGGAGCCCACUCGGACGCAUCGUCUUGCCUCUCUCAUCACCUUUGUGCUGAUCAAACUAUAGUAUAAAUUACUAGUCUAAUAAAUUGUUUUGUGAUUUAUAUGCUAUAAAUAUUUACACCUGUUGUUUUACCCAUUUCUUUUGUGGCAGAUCAUUUUUAUUAUGCUUGACUGAAAACGUUCUAACAAUGUUUAGAAAAUAUAAACAUAAGGAAAACGUGAUCUUAUUUUCUGUGGACCUGUCUUAUAAACUGGGUUUCUUUUUUGAUAAACAGAUAGUGGUAUUGUACAGUUUAUCUCACCUUACUCAGUAGUAGAAGGCAACAUGGCAAGUGCUAACAAAACAGAGUUGUCAACAAAUUCUGGAUCAUUGAAGGAGUGGAACAUGUUGAUGUCGGAAAAUAGUGCCAUGCUUGUCGUGUUGAUAUCAGUUGUGAUUCUUUUGACAUGUAAUAUCUCCACAUUUAACACCUGCAUAUUGUUUCUGUAACAUUGGUAUUACAGAGCCAUUAUUUCACCCAAUGAAUCAGAUCAGAGAGCAUUUAUUUGCUUAUUUCUUGUGUAGCUUUCCCUACAGGGUUAACUUGCUACGAUGUUUUGCAUACAGGGAUUAGACACAUCUUUUUCAAGUACACUUUCUUUUAUCAUGUUUUAAUGAAAUGCUUAAUUAAAGCUCCCGCAGGAAAUUAACAUUAAAAUAUUCCUGUAUUAUUCUAAGAUCUGGUGCCUGAGCUGUGGUGGCGGGAAGAUAAUGGACAAGCCUCACUACUCUCCAGUACAUGAAAGCUAAUUGAGGCAGAGAGUGAGUUGCCCUCUUGUGGUGAGAGCCCCCCUCCAACCUCACCUGUAGCAUCUUUUGCAUAACAGGAGCCACAGCAGUGAAGGGUCAGUCACCUGACAUGACAGCUUGACUAACAUGACCACUAAGGGGCAGACUCCAGGCAGGCUAGAACACCGUUGGAGAUCUGCCCAACCAGUCUGAGGCGUUGGCUCAUCUAUGUUAGCAUAACAGGAUGAAUGUAACAUGGACCAUAUUUAUACAAUUCAGACUCUUUUUUUUUAACGCAAUGUGUCUGCUUUCUGGAUUGUACUGUUGGUAUCUGUGUAAUAUAAUGCAUUAUUCUGCAUCCGUAUCAAUGUCUUUGUGUGUCCUAUGUAUCUUUCUAUGACCACCAUUGGCACUUUUAUCUCUCAUGUUGUGUCAUUGCAUUGUAAGGACUUUCCUGCUUUUGGUGCACACCUCUCAAUUCACUCAUGUGACUGAUGCUACUACUUUGAUUAAAUGAUCAGCAGGA